UACGGAGGGUGCAAGCGUUAUCCGGAUUCACUGGGUUUAAAGGGUGCGUAGGCGGGUUGAUAAGUCAGUGGUGAAAGCUCCGAGCUUAACUUGGAAACUGCCAUUGAUACUGUCAGUCUUGAAUGUCGUAGAGGUAAGCGGAAUGUUGCAUGUAGCGGUGAAAUGCUUAGAUAUGUUACAGAACACCAAUUGCGAAGGCAGCUUACUAUGCGAUAAUUGACGCUGAGGCACGAAAGCGUGGGGAGCGAACAGG
Molecule: ribosomal RNA, 253 nt
Filed under: uncultured bacterium
Lineage: Bacteria
Description: partial 16S ribosomal RNA
Rfam family: Bacterial small subunit ribosomal RNA
Source: RNAcentral